UCGAGAAAGACAUAGUGGUUAUGACGUUGGCUUGAAACCAGUGGGAGAGGGUUCGAUUCCUU
Molecule: transfer RNA, 62 nt
Filed under: Sus scrofa (pig)
Lineage: Eukaryota; Metazoa; Chordata; Mammalia; Artiodactyla; Suidae
Description: tRNA-Ser
Source: RNAcentral